AUACGUAGGGGGCGAGCGUUGUCCGGAAUGAUUGGGCGUAAAGGGCGCGUAGGCGGCGCGGAAAGUCUGGGGUGAAAGUCCUGCUUUCAAGGGGGGAAUUGCUUUGGAUACUGCCGCGCUUGAGUGCGGGGGAGGUUAUGGGAAUUCCCGUUGUGGCGGUGAAAUGCGUAGAGAUCGGGAGGAACACCAGUGGCGAAGGCGGGUAACUGGACUGCAACUGACGCUGAGGCGCGAAAGUGUGGGGAGCAAACAGGAUUAGAUACCCUGGUAGUCCACACUGUAAACGAUGAAUGCUAGGUGUAAGAGGUAUCGACCCCUUUUGUGCCGGAGUCAACACAAUAAGCAUUCCGCCUGGGGAGUACGGCCGCAAGGUUGAAACUCAAAUGAAUUGACAGGG
RNAcentral lists this ribosomal RNA (397 nucleotides) under uncultured bacterium. RNAcentral's name for it is "partial 16S ribosomal RNA". It matches the Rfam family "Bacterial small subunit ribosomal RNA", at positions 523 to 918 of the family's 1533-position model. The record is from RNAcentral.